This 65-nucleotide transfer RNA is filed under the name Spirometra erinaceieuropaei. Its description in RNAcentral is "tRNA-Glu". The record is from RNAcentral. Lineage: Eukaryota; Metazoa; Platyhelminthes; Cestoda; Diphyllobothriidea; Diphyllobothriidae.
UCUAUCUUGUUGUAUCUAUAGCAUAGCAGCUUUUCGUGCUGCGGGUGGUAUUUUACCAGAUAGGG